Molecule: ribosomal RNA, 444 nt
Filed under: uncultured bacterium
Lineage: Bacteria
Description: bacterial SSU rRNA
Rfam family: Bacterial small subunit ribosomal RNA
Source: RNAcentral
AACGCGAAGAACCUUACCUGGGCUUGAACCGCACAGGACCAGCUUCAGAAAUGAGGCCUUCCCGCAAGGGACCUGUGUAGAGGUGCUGCAUGGCUGUCGUCAGCUCGUGUCGUGAGAUGUUGGGUUAAGUCCCGCAACGAGCGCAACCCUUGCCGUUAGUUGCCAUCGAGUAAUGUCGGGCACUCUAGCGGGACUGCCGGUGUUAAACCGGAGGAAGGUGGGGAUGACGUCAAGUCCUCAUGGCCUUUAUGUCUGGGGCUACACACGUGCUACAAUGGCAUCUACAAACCGCUGCGAACUCGUAAGGGGAAGCAAAUCGGAAAAAAGAUGUCUCAGUUCGGAUCGGAGUCUGCAACUCGACUUCGUGAAGUUGGAAUCGCUAGUAAUCGUGGAUCAGCAUGCCACGGUGAAUACGUUCCCGGGCCUUGUACACACCGAGACGAC